RNAcentral lists this ribosomal RNA (534 nucleotides) under Hansenula anomala. RNAcentral's name for it is "LSU rRNA". It matches the Rfam family "Eukaryotic large subunit ribosomal RNA", at positions 63 to 600 of the family's 3401-position model. The record is from RNAcentral. Lineage: Eukaryota; Fungi; Ascomycota; Saccharomycetes; Phaffomycetales; Wickerhamomycetaceae.
AACCAACAGGGAUUGCCUCAGUAACGGCGAGUGAAGCGGCAAAAGCUCAAAUUUGAAAUCUAGCACCUUCGGUGUUCGAGUUGUAAUUUGAAGAUGGUAACCUUGGGUUUGGCUCUUGUCUAUGUUCCUUGGAACAGGACGUCAUAGAGGGUGAGAAUCCCGUCUGAUGAGAUGCCCAUUCCUAUGUAAGGUGCUAUCGAAGAGUCGAGUUGUUUGGGAAUGCAGCUCUAAGUGGGUGGUAAAUUCCAUCUAAAGCUAAAUAUUGGCGAGAGACCGAUAGCGAACAAGUACAGUGAUGGAAAGAUGAAAAGAACUUUGAAAAGAGAGUGAAAAAGUACGUGAAAUUGUUGAAAGGGAAGGGCAUUAGAUCAGACUUGGUGUUUUACGAUUAUCUUCUCUUCUUGAGUUGUGCACUCGUAUUUCACUGGGCCAGCAUCGAUUCGGAUGGCAAGAUAAUAGCAGUUGAAUGUGGCUUCACUUCGGUGGAGUGUUAUAGCUUCUGUUGAUAUUGCCUGUCUGGAUCGAGGGCUGCGU